UACAGAGGUCCCAAGCGUUGUUCGGAUUCACUGGGCGUAAAGGGUGCGUAGGCGGUUGGGUAAGUCUGACGUGAAAUCUUCAAGCUUAACUUGGAAAUGGCGUCGGAUACUAUUCGGCUUGAGGAUUGGAGGGGAGACUGGAAUUCUCGGUGUAGCGGUGAAAUGCGUAGAUAUCGAGAGGAACACCAGUGGCGAAGGCGAGUCUCUGGACAAUUCCUGACGCUGAGGCGCGAAAGCGAGGGGAGCAAACAGG
This 253-nucleotide ribosomal RNA is filed under the name uncultured bacterium. Its description in RNAcentral is "partial 16S ribosomal RNA". It matches the Rfam family "Bacterial small subunit ribosomal RNA", at positions 524 to 776 of the family's 1533-position model. The record is from RNAcentral.